Molecule: long non-coding RNA, 522 nt
Organism: Mastomys coucha (southern multimammate mouse)
Lineage: Eukaryota; Metazoa; Chordata; Mammalia; Rodentia; Muridae
Exons: 2
Source: RefSeq, a predicted model, not a curated record
AGCUCCUGUACAUUGUCUAAGUGUUCCAGCACCCCAGGGAGGGGCCGGUUAUCAACCCAUUUUACAGGGCAGGGUAAGUCGCCAGAGGCUGGUCUGGGUCCAGCAAUCUGCCCACAAGCUGGCCACCACGGGCUCCAGCGCUCAGCACGUGUUCAGCUGCUCCCCGACUGACUAGACCAGGCGGCUGAAUCCAGAGCAAAGUCCCACCAGGCCCGCAGAUCUUCAUCCUCGUGAGACAUGCUCCUGUGAUUUAUUAGCUGUAGCUCGAGUUCAGUCAGCACAUGUCUUUCUUCCUCUCCUUCACCCUUCAGCCGUUUAUCAGGAAGAGCCCCCUUUGAGUCCAGAAGUGGUGGCAACGAGCUAUGGGGGAGUCUUCUUCCAGGAAAACUUCCUUGUUUUCUUCCCACGCCACCACGCGGGUCUCCAACGAAGGCGUGACGGGACCAGAGCUUUUCCUAUAGUUCAAAUAGUCUGAAGAAAAAAAAAAAAACAAACCUUCCAAAGAAAAUGCACGUAAACUGA